CAAAAAAAAAAAACAAAACUGUGUGGGAUCAGGAGCACAUGGCAAUUGAGUCAGAUUGCUGUUCAUUUAGAGGUCCAUGUCAUGGUAUGCAAAGAAGGGAAGUGUUUAAAACUAUUAAAAUACAAAAGUGUUAGGACAAAGACAUUCAUGGGGGAGAGGAAGAGGGGGGCAAAUCACCAUUAAAAAAAAUGCCAACAGACUUUAAUUCUUUUUUAUGAGUCUAUGGCCUGUUAAGGAAGGAAAAAAAAAAAAGAUUAAAAGCUGGUGUACUGUGUAAGGGUACACAUAAAAGAUACAUUUCUUGACAUCCUUCCAAAAUUAAAAAUGUUUAAAGACUAUUUUGUAACCUUGUCUAACAACAUUCUAGUAGCUUCGGUUUUCUCUCCUGUGAAUCAGUUCUGGCCUUCAUGUACAAAUUAGUUUGUUUUGUGGUACUGCAUGGAAUAAAACAUAUAUCAGAAGGACAUAAUGCAAAAUAUUUAUUUCCAACUCUGACUGAUGUAUGCACGCAGCCUGGUACAGGUAUGAAUUUCUCCCUUUAAAAAGUCAGAAGACAUGUGAGCCUGUGCAUGCCCACCAAACAGCCUUCUAUUUAAUUAAAAAAGUGUUCUUUAGGGCUAUGGGUUAAAAUAACUUUUUGGAAUUUCAGCCUGGGGAGCAGCUCCAGGGCCGAAGUGUUACUGUAGCUGUUAAGCCAGUGCUGGAAAGUGAAUUGCUGGCCCAGGGGGCAGAGUAUGCCUGCCUGAGGACGUGUAGGUGAGUCCCAGAAGUCACUGCCGUACAGGCUGCCUGGGAGAAGAUCACAUGAGAACAGUCACCUUGAAACUGCCUAAGUGUCAAAUGCAGAAGGAAUGAUAGUCCUGGACACUUUUUGUUUAAAUACUGAGAUACGGGUCUUGAGUUUUAACUACUUGGCUUUGCAAAGGAAACCAGACUUGUCUCUCGGUGCCCACCUGGGAUCUCUUGAAGCAGGUUAUUCCACGGAAAAGAUCAGAGGCAGGGUGUGCCAGCAGGUGGAUGAUCAGCCCGGUGGAGUUGGCAGACACUGUGCACAGGCUCCGAGGCGGCAGAAGACACGCUCCUCACUAGUCGAGUCUUCUGGCAAUGUUUUGCAAUGUUACAAGCUAUGAAGAUCUAAUCAGCAGAGGGAGCUGUGUGGAAGAACAACACUUUCGUCCUUUCUGUGGUCCAAGUUCUAUGAGGCAAGACAAGGUGAUUUAAAAAGCUUUUGAGAACUGCCUGAGCUGCUGUAAAAUACCGCUGGCUGUUUACUUCAGGCACUGCUGUAAACUGAUUUAAACACUUUAGGGAAGUACAUUCCUAUACAAAUAGGUAUAACUGCAUUUAUUUAUUUAUUUACAAAUAUUCAUGAGGCUGAUUGUAGGAAAGCAAUUCUGAGAUGCACA
Molecule: long non-coding RNA, 1406 nt
Filed under: Anser brachyrhynchus (Pink-footed goose)
Lineage: Eukaryota; Metazoa; Chordata; Aves; Anseriformes; Anatidae
Description: lncRNA (ENSABRG00000005275.1)
Source: RNAcentral